This 445-nucleotide ribosomal RNA is filed under the name uncultured bacterium. RNAcentral describes it as "partial 16S ribosomal RNA". It matches the Rfam family "Bacterial small subunit ribosomal RNA", at positions 354 to 796 of the family's 1533-position model. The record is from RNAcentral.
GUGAGGAAUAUUGGUCAAUGGGCGGGAGCCUGAACCAGCCAAGUCGCGUGAAGGAAGAAGGAUCUAUGGUUCGUAAACUUCUUUUGCAGGGGAAUAAAGUGCAGGACGUGUCCUGUUUUGUAUGUACCCUGAGAAUAAGGAUCGGCUAACUCCGUGCCAGCAGCCGCGGUAAUACGGAGGAUCCGAGCGUUAUCCGGAUUUAUUGGGUUUAAAGGGUGCGUAGGUGGUUUGAUAAGUCAGCGGUGAAAGUUUGCAGCUUAACUGGAAAAAGGCCGUUGAAACUGUCGGACUUGAGUGUAAAUGAGGUAGGCGGAAUGCGUGGUGUAGCGGUGAAAUGCAUAGAUAUCACGCAGAACUCCGAUUGCGAAGGCAGCUUACUAAGCUACAACUGACACUGAAGCACGAAAGCGUGGGGAUCAAACAGGAUUAGAAACCCCGGUAGUCC